UACGGAGGGUGCAAGCGUUAAUCGGAAUUACUGGGCGUAAAGCGUGCGUAGGUGGUUUGUUAAGUCAGAUGUGAAAGCCCCGGGCUCAACCUGGGAACUGCAUUUGAAACUGGCAAACUAGAGUAUAGGAGAGGAAAGUGGAAUUUCAGGUGUAGCGGUGAAAUGCGUAGAUAUCUGAAGGAACAUCAAUGGCGAAGGCAGCUUUCUGGACUAAUACUGACACUGAGGUACGAAAGCGUGGGUAGCAAACAGGAUUAGAUACCCUGGUAGUCCACGCCGUAAACGAUGACAACUAGCCGUUGGGAGGGUUUACCUCUUAGUGGCGAAGCUAACGCGUUAAGUUGUCCGCC
This 350-nucleotide ribosomal RNA is filed under the name Candidatus Thioglobus sp. Its description in RNAcentral is "bacterial SSU rRNA". It matches the Rfam family "Bacterial small subunit ribosomal RNA", at positions 524 to 873 of the family's 1533-position model. Lineage: Bacteria; Pseudomonadati; Pseudomonadota; Gammaproteobacteria; Pseudothioglobaceae (SeqCode). The record is from RNAcentral.